GAUGAACGCUGGCGGCGUGCCUAAUACAUGCAAGUCGAGCGAACAGACGAGGAUCUUGCUCCUCUGACGUUAGCGGCGGACGGGUGAGUAACACGUGGAUAACCUACCUAUAAGACUGGGAUAACUUCGGGAAACCGGAGCUAAUACCGGAUAAUAUAUUGAACCGCAUGGUUCAAUAGUGAAAGACGGUUUUGCUGUCACUUAUAGAUGGAUCCGCGCCGCAUUAGCUAGUUGGUAAGGUAACGGCUUACCAAGGCAACGAUGCGUAGCCGACCUGAGAGGGUGAUCGGCCACACUGGAACUGAGACACGGUCCAGACUCCUACGGGAGGCAGCAGUAGGGAAUCUUCCGCAAUGGGCGAAAGCCUGACGGAGCAACGCCGCGUGAGUGAUGAAGGUCUUCGGAUCGUAAAACUCUGUUAUUAGGGAAGAACAAAUGUGUAAGUAACUAUGCACGUCUUGGCGGUACCUAAUCAGAAAGCCACGGCUAACUACGUG
This 497-nucleotide ribosomal RNA is filed under the name uncultured bacterium. Its description in RNAcentral is "partial 16S ribosomal RNA". It matches the Rfam family "Bacterial small subunit ribosomal RNA", at positions 28 to 507 of the family's 1533-position model. The record is from RNAcentral.